RNAcentral lists this long non-coding RNA (438 nucleotides) under Triticum aestivum (bread wheat). RNAcentral describes it as "long non-coding RNA (TAES_LNC001295)". Lineage: Eukaryota; Viridiplantae; Streptophyta; Magnoliopsida; Poales; Poaceae. The record is from RNAcentral.
CCUGCACAUCAGCCCGCGCUGAAUGAACCGCUGCAGUUCUACAACAAGAACAACCGGGGAAGGGAAACACAGUCUUUGAGGAGAAUGAACAACUACAAUCAUGAGGACCAACGGAUCAGACACGUACCUCAACCAUCUUGCCGGCGGCGCCGUCUCCAUGACGAACCACGACGGCCUCCUGCUCUCCUCCAUCUCCCCAGCUGCUCAAGCCCACCGCGACCAAUCCGAUGCUUCUUGUCCUCGGCACCUAUCUCCCCUGCUCCUUGCAAUGGUGGCGGCAUGGGAGAGAGAGAGAGAAGGACAAGGAGGAGGAGAGGUGGCGGGGCGAAGAUCUGCGCCCGAUGCAGAAUCAUGGCGCGCGGCGCGUGAUGCCGGCGACCUGCGCCCGACCCGGCUGGACCGAGAACUGUCACACCCGCUACUGCACCUCGAGCGCCG